GCCGGGUGUGAUGGUACACACCUGUAAUCCCAGCAACUCGGGAGGCUGAGGCAAGAGAAUUGUGAGUUCAAAGCCAGCCUCAGAAACUUAGCAAGGCCCGAAGUAACUUAGUGAGACCUUGUCUCUA
RNAcentral lists this small RNA (127 nucleotides) under Marmota monax (woodchuck). Lineage: Eukaryota; Metazoa; Chordata; Mammalia; Rodentia; Sciuridae. The record is from RNAcentral.